This is a long non-coding RNA of Oncorhynchus tshawytscha (Chinook salmon), 2267 nucleotides long. Lineage: Eukaryota; Metazoa; Chordata; Actinopteri; Salmoniformes; Salmonidae. The record is from Ensembl.
UAAUGAUAUACUGGUAGUCUAAUUUUGUUAGCUAACAUUAGCUUGCUUGGUAAAUCAUUCCUGCAUUAACUGGAAAGGGAAGACAGUAUGCUAAUGUCUCGUAACCUAUAUCAACCUGACACUUUGCGUCUAUAAACUAUGUUUUAGUUGCUAAUUACUAAACUAUUUACCAAGUGGUUAAAUGUGUUUUUCAGCUGCUAAUAUAAGCGCAGACAUGCUUCCCAGCCUCUCUAAGGAGGAUUUACGUGAUCUCUUUCCCAGGCCAGGGCACUUCUUCAGAAGGAGAACCAUUUGGAGACUUACUCAUGGUGAAAAUGAGGGUCAAGAAUCAGACCUGUGUAGACCAGGCACCUCUACUGGCACCUGUGAUUUCAGCCCCACUACCACCCCCUUUCCCUCCUCCUACUCCUCCAGAAAUCUGUGAAGAAGCAGCUUUUGAAAAGGAAGAGGCCACAAAGAAAGAGGCCACGAAGCCUUUCAGAGCAGCCAGGAGAUGUCCACUGAUGAGACUUUGAUCUUGGAGAGAUCCCCACAAUCUAGAUUCAGCACCCCAGAGGUUGAACGGUUGGGUGAUAAGUACACAAAUUUAAAUAGUGGAUAGUGUUUCCGUAUAAAUACAACUUCUACUACGACUCUAAACGAGGGACUAGAAACAAAGUGACUAAUUUAGUCUUUAGUGUUUCCCGUGGAAUGAGAGGUUUGGGGUGGUAGUAACAGCGGAAACAUUGGUCUUAAUUUCAUUCUACAUUUUUAAAUGUUAAUUGGUUUUAAAUGUUAACAGAACCAGGCGAGACAUUAUAAAAUUCUACAGGAGAUGUACAAAACCAAGGCCAGUGUCACGUUCUGACCUUUAUUUCCUUUGUUUUGUAUUUAUUUAGUAUGGUCAGGGCGUGAGUUGGGUGGGCAAUCUAUGUUUGUUUUUCUAGGUUUUGUGCCUGGUUAACACCAGACCUGAGCAGCGUGAGAAGCCAUAGCAGGGAUGGGGGUAAACUACUUCGGGCAAAUGUAAAACAGUGAGCUUGCGAGAAUUCGGUCUGGUAGUAACCAGGCUAAUGCUUCCUACGCCUCCAGCUAGAUAGUGUUAAGACUCGCGUUGUCUCUGUCUGUGUGUGUCAGGUUAUGGAUGAGCUCCGGUGGAACCUCGAUCGAGGGAACUCCCGCUUCGUACCUGAACUGAAGACCCGCUGGGGGACCUUUUACAACAAGGCACAGUUUUAUGGAGUGCUCAAAGGUCAUGAAGCCACCGCUGCUGGACAAAGUGAAGUACUCAAUUGCCUUGGAGGCUUUACCAGACAUGUUGCGACAAUCCUCUCUGUGCUGCAGACAGAAGUCUUCUCGGACCCCAUCCACAACCAGGACAUGAAUUCUUAAAAAAUAAAAGGCUAUGGCCGAGUGGAAAAGGUUCAUUACUGACUAGGGUUGCACAAUAAAAAAUAACAAAAUUCUGGUCCAGAUAACAGAACUGUGUGUAUCAUCCGAUAACCUUUAGUAAAUAGGCAGGGAGUUUGUUUAUUAUAAGGUUUAAAGCACUGUUACGUUUUAUCUUGCCAUAGGUCUUGCCUUUUCAUUUUCACAUUGACCACCAAUGGCCUUUGUUGUUUUUGCAUCCUUUGUUCUGCCCAUAUGCAGCCUCUGGAUAUACUGAGUCCUCAAAGAAUUGAAAAGAAAUUAGAUGCAUUUCUUUAAGCAAGCCAAUCUUAUUUCUAGUAGUAAGAUUGGCUUGCUUAAAGAAAUGCAUCUAAUUUCUUUUCAAAUCUUAGUCAGGAUUCCUUAAUUUAAGCACAAUAUUUAAUUCCAGGGUAUAUGGCCUUAUUUCAAGAUUGCAAAUUUAAGCACAUUUUCCUACAUAUUGAGAAAAUAAUUCUUAAAUCUUUUCUUUGUAUCCAGACAUAUGUACAUGUUUUAAGAUAUAGUUACGAAACAUAUAGCCUUAUUUCAAGAUGAUGGCACUAGCAUUUGCUAAAUUUAAGCACAUUUCCCUACAUAUUGAAAAAUGAUUCCUAAAUCUUUGAUUUGUAACCAGACAAAUGACUUGUUUUUAGUCUGGCCGCACUGUUCUUUGAGAAGAGAUAUUUUUACUUGUUUUAAAAAUCUUGGCAAGUAAAAUUUUCCUGUUCUGUUGGCAGAUCAUUUUGCUUAUUUUAAGGAAUUUCCCCCAUUUUAUUGCUUUUUUUUAAACUUGUUUUUUCUUAAGAGCUGACUUUUUGCAGUGAUGUUGAUGUGAAAAAUAUUUCUUGGUCCAUGGUGUGUGAUGACGAGCAACCAGC